This is a non-coding RNA of Rattus norvegicus (Norway rat), 1228 nucleotides long. NCBI's taxonomy places the organism in Eukaryota, Metazoa, Chordata, Mammalia, Rodentia, Muridae. The record is from RefSeq and is a predicted model, not a curated record.
AUGCUAAAGCCGCUGAAAUCCGGUCUGAGCCUUGCUCCUUCAUAGCUCUGAGAUUAAAUCUGCAGCUCUCCCCUGGAAAGACACCCUCCUUUUUUUGUUGGCAUCCCGAGUGGCUGGCAGGAGAAGUGGAUCAUGUCACAAGGAUCAGAGCUGGCAGUUAGGAACAGCAUGGGAUAUGACCAGACUAGAAUGUUCUGGAAGUUUCUGUGAGGUGAUGAUGUCAUUGAAGACUGGAAGGGUCAGAUGAAGCCUGUUGGUCAGGGUAAAGUCCCCUCAUACUCUUGCCCUUCCCAGAGACCUGUGCUUCUCCCUCCCACACCUACACCUGCCUCACUAGACAGCAGUAGACCUUAGAGGUCCAGGGGACGACCUUUGAAAGCAGAUCCCAAGGGGAGACUAGGAAGGAGGAGGAGAAAGAGAAGGAAGAGGAAGAGGAUGAGGAGGAAGAGGAAGCCUGAGGUCCUCAGCAGAAAUGCCACUGUCUACUGGCUUGACUCAAAAAACAUGGUCGAAGAGAAAGAUUGUUCGAAUAUAAGGACUGCAGACCUUCAAGUCCGGAAAGAGGGAGCUGUGUGGUGUCCACUCUCAUCAGGAGUGGAAACUUCUACAAGAUGCGACAGUGAGCACGGAUGGGAGCUGGCUGUGCAAAGGCUGUUCCCAGGGCCAGGAGCACAGAAACAGUUCAGAGUCCAGGUAGAUGGGGGUGAUAGACACAUUUAAUCCAGGACUCUGUAGCCAGAGGCAGGAGAGUUCUAGUUUCAGGCCUGCCUGCCCUGUCACAAACAAACAAUAAGAAAAUGAAGAAAGUCUUCACCUUUACACUGGGGAUGAGGACGGGGAACCCCUAAAGGCCAGGAUCUCCCCUCACCCAUCCUGCCUCUCAAGAGUACCACCUGCUGCUGUCACUGGAUCCCAUCCGGAGCAGCCUCCUCUGUGUCUUCCCCACGCUCUCAUGGCUGGGUUGUGGAACAAAAGUGCCAGGAUGCCCCAGGAGGCUGGGGGUUCCAUGUCUGCGGCUGGGGGUGCAAUUGAUGUGUCAGACCCAGAAGCCCACGCAGAGGCCCUGUGAACCUGUGCCUUUGGAAUUCCCAUCCCCACAAAAAUCAUCUGGUGCAGCUCCGUGGAUCCGCUCUGAGGGCUGACAGACCCUCCCCACCAGAUGCAUCCACUGUUCUGUGGAGAGAAAAAGAGGCACAUUAAGGAAAGAAAUAAAGACGAUAAAUCGCCA